GAUGAACGCUAGCGGCAGGCCUAAUACAUGCAAGUCGAACGAUACCAGAGAGCUUGCUUUCUGGGAAAGUGGCGCACGGGUGCGUAACGCGUAUGCAACCUACCUUAAUCAGGGGGAUAGCCUCUCGAAAGAGAGAUUAACACCGCAUAACAUCAUUCUACGGCAUCGUAGAAUGAUCAAAUAUUUAUAGGAUUAAGAUGGGCAUGCGUGACAUUAGCUAGUUGGUGAGGUAACGGCUCACCAAGGCUACGAUGUCUAGGGGAUCUGAGAGGAUGACCCCCCACACUGGUACUGAGACACGGACCAGACUCCUACGGGAGGCAGCAGUAAGGAAUAUUGGUCAAUGGAGGCAACUCUGAACCAGCCAUGCCGCGUGCAGGAAGACGGCCCUAUGGGUUGUAAACUGCUUUUAUACGGGAAUAAACCUCUCUACGUGUAGGGAGUUGAAUGUACUGUAAGAAUAAGGAUCGGCUAACUCCGUGCCAGCAGCCGCCGUAA
Molecule: ribosomal RNA, 498 nt
Filed under: uncultured bacterium
Lineage: Bacteria
Description: partial 16S ribosomal RNA
Rfam family: Bacterial small subunit ribosomal RNA
Source: RNAcentral